CAGCAGCCACGGUAAUACCGAGGGUGCAAGCGUUAAUCGGAAUUACUGGGCGUAAAGCGCGCGUAGGUGGUUUGUUAAGUUGGAUGUGAAAGCCCCGGGCUCAACCUGGGAACUGCAUCCAAAACUGGCAAGCUAGAGUACGGUAGAGGGUGGUGGAAUUUCCUGUGUAGCGGUGAAAUGCGUAGAUAUAGGAAGGAACACCAGUGGCGAAGGCGACCACCUGGACUGAUACUGACACUGAGGUGCGAAAGCGUGGGGAGCAAACAGGAUUAGAUACCCCCGUAGUCCCUGUCUCUUAUAC
RNAcentral lists this ribosomal RNA (301 nucleotides) under uncultured bacterium. RNAcentral's name for it is "partial 16S ribosomal RNA". It matches the Rfam family "Bacterial small subunit ribosomal RNA", at positions 509 to 807 of the family's 1533-position model. The record is from RNAcentral.